Molecule: ribosomal RNA, 468 nt
Filed under: uncultured bacterium
Lineage: Bacteria
Description: partial 16S ribosomal RNA
Rfam family: Bacterial small subunit ribosomal RNA
Source: RNAcentral
GACGAACGCUGGCGGCGUGCUUAACACAUGCAAGUCGAACGGAAAGGCCCUGCUUUUGUGGGGUGCUCGAGUGGCGAACGGGUGAGUAACACGUGAGUAACCUGCCCUUGACUUUGGGAUAACUUCAGGAAACUGGGGCUAAUACCGGAUAGGAGCUCCUGCUGCAUGGUGGGGGUUGGAAAGUUUCGGCGGUUGGGGAUGGACUCGCGGCUUAUCAGCUUGUUGGUGGGGUAGUGGCUUACCAAGGCUUUGACGGGUAGCCGGCCUGAGAGGGUGACCGGCCACAUUGGGACUGAGAUACAGCCCAGACUCCUACGGGAGGCAGCAGUGGGGAAUAUUGCACAAUGGGCGGAAGCCUGAUGCAGCAACGCCGCGUGCGGGAUGACGGCCUUCGAGUUGUAAACCGCUUUCGCCUGUGACGAAGCGUGAGUGACGGUAAUGGGUAAAGAAGCACCGGCUAACUACGUG